Molecule: ribosomal RNA, 849 nt
Filed under: uncultured Bacteroidota bacterium
Lineage: Bacteria; Pseudomonadati; Bacteroidota
Description: bacterial SSU rRNA
Rfam family: Bacterial small subunit ribosomal RNA
Source: RNAcentral
GUCGAGGGGUAACAGGGAGUGCUUGCACUCUGCUGACGACCGGCGCACGGGUGCGUAACGCGUAUGCAACCUACCUUUUACAGGGGGAUAGUCAAGAGAAAUUUUGAAUAAUACCCCAUACGAUCCUGAUAUCACCUGAUAUUUGGAAGAAAACUUCGGUGGUAAAAGAUGGGCAUGCGUCCUAUUAGUUAGUUGGUGAGGUAACGGCUCACCAAGACAGCGAUAGGUAGGGGUCCUGAGAGGGAGAUCCCCCACACUGGUACUGAGACACGGACCAGACUCCUACGGGAGGCAGCAGUGAGGAAUAUUGGACAAUGGAGGCAACUCUGAUCCAGCCAUGCCGCGUGCAGGAAGACUGCCCUAUGGGUUGUAAACUGCUUUUAUACAGGAAGAAACCUACUUACGUGUAAGUAGCUGACGGUACUGUACGAAUAAGGAUCGGCUAACUCCGUGCCAGCAGCCGCGGUAAUACGGAGGAUCCAAGCGUUAUCCGGAAUUAUUGGGUUUAAAGGGUCCGUAGGUGGUUUGCUAAGUCAGAGGUGAAAUCCUACCGCUUAACGGUAGCACUGCCUUUGAUACUGGCAAACUUGAGUUAUUGUGAAGUAGUUAGAAUGUGUAGUGUAGCGGUGAAAUGCAUAGAUAUUACACAGAAUACCGAUUGCGAAGGCAGAUUACUAACAAUAUACUGACACUGAGGGACGAAAGCGUGGGUAGCGAACAGGAUUAGAUACCCUGGUAGUCCACGCCGUAAACGAUGGUCACUAGCUGUUUGACUAACAUUGGUUAGUUGAGUGGCUAAGCGAAAGUGAUAAGUGACCCACCUGGGGAGUACGCUCGCAAGAGUGAAAC